GAUGAAGAACGCAGCAAAAUGCGAUACGUAAUGCGAAUUGCAGAAUUCAGUGAAUCAUCAAAUCUUUGAACGCAAAUUGCGCUCUCGGGAUAGGCCUGGGAGCACGCCUCUUUGAGUAUCGUUUCAACCACAACUCGAAAGCGUUGCUUUAUUGCAUCGCUGACGGAGAAUGAGCGCUCUCGCGUUUGCGAGACGCUUGAAAUUGAGCGAGUGACUUGAUAUCUGUCGAAAGAUGGACUUCUGUCUGCGGUGACGAGGAUAACUUCACAUUCAAUUGUGAACCCUUCCAUCGUGACUGCUAGCCAGAGCUGUCUGCGAUAGCUGUCGCCCAGUCACGGCACAUCUGUGGUCAUCUGUUGUGGUGAACACAGAACUCCAUUUUGAACUAGAUCUCAAAUGAAGCGAGAAAACCCGCUGAACUUAAGCAUAUCAAUAAGCGGAGGA
Molecule: unclassified non-coding RNA, 444 nt
Filed under: soil metagenome
Description: partial contains 5.8S ribosomal RNA, internal transcribed spacer 2, and large subunit ribosomal RNA
Rfam family: 5.8S ribosomal RNA (bases 1-121)
Source: RNAcentral